RNAcentral lists this long non-coding RNA (1271 nucleotides) under Marmota monax (woodchuck). The record is from RNAcentral. Lineage: Eukaryota; Metazoa; Chordata; Mammalia; Rodentia; Sciuridae.
GUCUCCCACAGCCUCCAGAUAGGACCUCUGAUAGAGGCCCAUGGUGCUGCCAGGGAUGGCCAUGUUCCUGACUCUAGGCUCACACGAACACACUAGUUCCAAGAAGUUGGUGUCUCUGAGGCACUACAGGUCACUUAGGGCAAGCUCCCUGGAUGUGGGCCCUGCAUUACCCUCUUUCAAUACCUGGCUCCUCCAAGCAUGGGGAGAUGUUGGGGACUUUCCUUUUUUUUUUUCCCAGAUUCUUUUUCUGGCCUCUAGAAUGUUAUUUAAUAAGCAUGUACAUUUUUUAUGAUCAAAGCCAAUAAAUUAAUUUUAAAAAAGGCAGAAUUAGAGGUCCAAGCCUCUGCUUUUCCCUCUAGGAAAAAAAGCAAGAAAAUCCUGCUUUCUUCCCACCAGUCCAGAUUUCCUCAGAACCUAGCUUUCACCAGCCAGCACUGCCUCUGCUCUUCAAGUCCCUUCAGCCGCUGUAGGUCAUGCUGCAGUCUCUUUGCAGGUGGAGCAGCAGGCUUCCCACAUCCUCAAAACUAGGCUUUCUGGCCCAGGGUCCUUCUGUGAGCUGCUUCAAGGGGCCUCAGACUCCCACACCCUCCAUUGCUGCAUCUCCUCCAAGAAGCCAGAAUCCUCAGUCACUCACCAAGAUGUCCAGCUGCCAGUCUCCAGUGUCCAGCUCUGCACCAAAUGCCACCACUUCUAGGGACUCCCAGCAGCCGAGUUCCCUCACAGUGGCCAGUAUGAGAAGGGAGGGGGCAAACAACAAAGGGCAGGGAAGGGACCCCAAUAGCUGCAACCCAGGCUGACUUUCCCUAACUUCUUCUGUGACUGCAGAUGGGUCACUGUCUCUUUAAGCCUCAGUUUCCCAUUUGAUAUGCUUCCACGCAUCAAUCUCACAGAGACUGUGAUUAACCAUUUACAUAGAAGGGCUUUGUCCCUGUGGGGAGCCACUCCACAUUCAUGCACCUUUAAGUCCUCAUGCACCACGGGGAUCUGAAAGAUCAAUGUAGUCUGGCGUGGUAGGGCCAUGACUUGUGACUCUUGGGCUUUUCCCUUGCUGGGAUAACAAGGCAUGGCCCUAGGAGUAGGCAGCACCCAGAGGGGUUGAGUACACUCACCUGUUCCUUUGUAAUCCUACCCCUUUGCCCUUUUGGGGAUAGAAUGUUCCAUGGAACCUCCCCUUGUGUGUUCCUUGUAUAAGAAUAAAGAGUUCCAAUGGCUCUCUCUCUUUCCAAGGACUCUUAAGGUCGCAGAGCCAUCUCCGGAAUAUUGAAAAAGGU